CAGCUUGCUCCUCUCGCAGCUCGGUACAGCCGCCAGCGUCGCCAGAUCAUAUAGCACUUCAGAAGCCAACGCCACAACUGGACAGUGGCAGCCCAACGCCCCAACUCCAUAUCCCCUCGACCCCUCCAUCUCCGCCUCUCCACGCAAGCACUAGAACGACGGUGGGCCGGCGACGGUGGCGGGCUGGCGCAAGGCUCCGAGCUGCGAUGUGGAGCGGCGCGACGUACAAGAGCGUUGUUGCGCGCAGGACCAGGAGCAUGACGACACGGCUGUGCCGGGAGGCAGCCGCGCGCAGACCACGACGAGGAGCCUGACCGUGCUGAGGAGCUUACGGCCACACCAAACAGCCGACGCUUAGGAUUAGUAGCUUCUCAUGAUGGAGCACAAGGCCCUGUUGUGGUUAGCCCUGGAAAUUUUAACUCAGCUGGUAGCCCAACAUCUAAAUAUUGGCAUUAGAGGAUCGCAACUCCACUCUAUUUGCGGAAUUUCAAAGUGUUCUUGUUGAUGAAGAAGAAACUAUGGGCGAGUCUGAUUCCAUCAUAACCGAAGCCUAUAAGAUGAUGCCUAGAACACUGAGGUUAAGAAUGAAAGAUUAUUCCUAGAACAUUGAGGUGAAGAAUGGAAGAUGAUGCAUGGUUGUACCUGUGAUUACUUGAUGUUGUGUGAUGCCAUUUUGUGAGAAACUAAGACUGAGAAAUGAUGUAGCUUUAUUGCUCCAGUGUGCGUGGUGCUCUGGUCUUCAGUCUCUGGGCGUUGUGUGACCUUGUCUCGCAUGAGGUGCGACGUAAUAAGUUUCUUGCUGGGUCAGUGAACCGACUAGUUUCUGAACCUUGCGUCUCCCUUGGUGUUUUGUGGAUGUUGUUUGAAGGUGCUGAUACCUCUUUUCUUUAAUGUAGUUGCAACUAUUAUUGGUCUAUACUUUAAUCUUGAAUCUGAGAGCCUCAAUCGAAGGUCAGGCAAUAGCCUAUUAUCUAAAAUAAUGUUGUGCUAUUGCUAUGAUAUGCA
Molecule: long non-coding RNA, 1005 nt
Organism: Aegilops tauschii subsp. strangulata
Lineage: Eukaryota; Viridiplantae; Streptophyta; Magnoliopsida; Poales; Poaceae
Source: RefSeq, a predicted model, not a curated record